Molecule: long non-coding RNA, 354 nt
Filed under: Macaca mulatta (Rhesus monkey)
Lineage: Eukaryota; Metazoa; Chordata; Mammalia; Primates; Cercopithecidae
Description: lncRNA (ENSMMUG00000063773.1)
Source: RNAcentral
CCUUGUGCCAGGCCUGUGGGCCCAUUCCCAACAUCAGGGGGCUCUGCUGCCGAUAGCUGCAACCUCCUCAAAGGGCAUCCAGUACAGGUACUUACGGUUAAUUUUUUAUGCGAUGAACAGGCAACAUAGCAGGACUGAUCAGGCUGCAAGCAUCCAGACGGCAAAAGAAUAAAAAGACAAAUGCUAAAGAAAUGUACAUGGAGGUGUCUGGGCUGUCUGCAUUUGACCUCCUGCUUCCCUGUAAGCUCCCUGGAAGUACCACAGCUCUUCAUGACACACAAGCGGCAAGCCGAAUGCAACUCUGAUUUGAUGGCAAUAAUUGCUGUACUAAUCAGUCUGGGAAUACACUUCAGG